GACCAGUCACACUGGAACUGAGACACGGUCCAGACUCCCUACGGGAGGCAGCAGUGGGGAAUAUUGGACAAUGGGCGAAAGCCUGAUCCAGCCAUGCCGCGUGUGUGAAGAAGGUCUUCGGAUUGUAAAGCACUUUAAGUUGGGAGGAAGGGCAGUUACCUAAUACGUGAUUGUUUUGACGUUACCGACAGAAUAAGCACCGGCUAACUCUGUGCCAGCAGCCGCGGUAA
Molecule: ribosomal RNA, 230 nt
Filed under: uncultured Pseudomonas sp.
Lineage: Bacteria; Pseudomonadati; Pseudomonadota; Gammaproteobacteria; Pseudomonadales; Pseudomonadaceae
Description: partial 16S ribosomal RNA
Rfam family: Bacterial small subunit ribosomal RNA
Source: RNAcentral